This 491-nucleotide ribosomal RNA is filed under the name uncultured bacterium. RNAcentral's name for it is "partial 16S ribosomal RNA". It matches the Rfam family "Bacterial small subunit ribosomal RNA", at positions 29 to 506 of the family's 1533-position model. The record is from RNAcentral.
AGUGAACGCUGGCGGUAGGCCUAACACAUGCAAGUCGAACGGCAGCACAGUAAGAGCUUGCUCUUACGGGUGGCGAGUGGCGGACGGGUGAGGAAUACAUCGGAAUCUACUUUUUCGUGGGGGAUAACGUAGGGAAACUUACGCUAAUACCGCAUACGACCUACGGGUGAAAGCAGGGGAUCUUCGGACCUUGCGCGAUUGAAUGAGCCGAUGUCGGAUUAGCUAGUUGGCGGGGUAAAGGCCCACCAAGGCGACGAUCCGUAGCUGGUCUGAGAGGAUGAACAGCCAAAAGGGAAAUGGAACACGGCCCAGCCCCCCAAGGGAGGACGCGGGGGGGAAUUUUGGAAAAGGGGGGCAAGCCUGAUCCAGCAAUACCGCGUGGGGGAAGAAGGCCUUGGGGUUGUAAAGCCCUUUUGUUGGGAAAAAAAAGCAGCAGGUUAAAACCCCGCUGUUCUGACGGGACCCAAAGAAUAAGCACCGGCUAACUUCGG